ACGAAUCGUGAUUGGUGAUGUUGAUAAUGUCACCAAACAUAUGUGCUCUCCAGGCAACUGGAGGUGCAAAACAUAUCAUAUAUAUGAUGUAGUGUAUUAUUAUCUAGUGAAUGUCAGUUGAUUGUCUCACCAAGUGAUACAGUCAAAUGUAAUCAAAUG
Molecule: unclassified non-coding RNA, 159 nt
Filed under: uncultured fungus
Lineage: Eukaryota; Fungi
Description: sequence contains ITS1
Source: RNAcentral